UGGUGGAGUGAUUUGUCUGGUUGAUUCCGUUAACGAACGAGAUCUCGACCCUUAAAUAGGUGGCUUGUCGCUUAGACUUUAUCUUCGGAUUUAGUCGAGACGAGCAACUACUUCUUAAGGGGACUGCGUGCGACUAUAGCACGUGGAAGAGCGAGCCAAUAGCA
This 164-nucleotide ribosomal RNA is filed under the name uncultured eukaryote. Its description in RNAcentral is "partial 18S ribosomal RNA". It matches the Rfam family "Eukaryotic small subunit ribosomal RNA", at positions 1299 to 1458 of the family's 1831-position model. The record is from RNAcentral.